GAGAGAGAGAGAAAGCGAGAGAGAAUCUCCAUAAAGAGAAGGAAAACAGAAUAGAUCAAUCUUUCAAAAAAAAUGAGAGCUACAACUCUCAUCUUUGGUUUCAUAAGUACGCAUUAUCUUUUGUGCAGACCUUUCAUCCUAAAAGGAUAAGCAACAAAAAUACCUUUGAAACCAAAACAAAAAGAUGGCUUUUUAUAAGCAAGUUAUGUACCAACCUUCUCUUUGAUCCAGUCUCCAAGGUAUCAAGAAUCCAAAAUAUUGUAUCAAAGUAACUUUUAAGAUAAACAUGCCAUGGUACCAAAGCAUCAUCUUUAUGCUUCCCAAUUCAUCGUGUCAAAAAAUAUCUCAAUUACAUCGACAAAACUACACUAUGUUCUUAAACAGUGAUUUUAACUUUAUGGAUAUUCAUUAUUAAUAAAAUGCCUUCUAAAAGAUUUCCAAAAAGUAAUUGACAAUUUUUUUUCCCAAAACUGUAAAAUCAGCAUAAAUGAAUACCCUAUUUUCACAAGGAUUAUAAAAUGUAAAAUACAAAUGACAUAUAUAUGAAAAUAACACCUCUAACUUAAGCCUAACUGCUUUGUAGAAAUAUUUUAGGCUCUAAUCAAACACAUCUAACUGAUACAAGAUGAACAGCUCUAGACAAGACUUCCUAAUCCUAUAAUUUCCUCUUUCAGGGGGGAAAUUUGUUGCAUAAGUAUCCUUCAGAUGAAUAGGUUUAUUCACAGAAUUACAGGGUAUUCAACAUGUACAGCCAAGACACCCUCACCUCCAAAUGAAUGCCUAUUAUCUUUGACAAAAAGUACAGAUCUGAUCAGAUACAUCUAGUUGGUACUGAUGAGUAUCUCUAAACAUGAUUUGCAGAUCCCACAAGGUUCCCUUCUGCCACCGACAAAAAGUAGGGGCAAAAUCUUCCUUGAAAUGAAUAGCUAUAGCAUAAUUCACCAGGGUGUCAAAACAUAUGACCAUGACAUCCUCCUCUAAUAAUCAACAUAUAAACGAAAAUAAUGCCCCUAAAUUAGUCCUUAUAUGAUUGGCAAGAGUUCAGAAAUUCAGAUCUCUAAUAAGAAAAAUCUAACCACUACAACAUGAACAUCUUCAAAAAUGACUCUGGUACCACAUUGCCCCCUUUUAGCACCAACAAAGAGUUGGUAAAAUAAACAAUAUACAUAUAUAACAUGUGUGUCAAAGAAGAAUUCUAAGAAUAGUUCAUUUUUGCCAGAUCAUAGGAGUCUAUCCAUUU
Molecule: unclassified non-coding RNA, 1240 nt
Filed under: Hevea brasiliensis (rubber tree)
Lineage: Eukaryota; Viridiplantae; Streptophyta; Magnoliopsida; Malpighiales; Euphorbiaceae
Source: RNAcentral